AACGAACGCUGGCGGCAGGCUUAACACAUGCAAGUCGAGCGCCCCGCAAGGGGAGCGGCAGACGGGUGAGUAACGCGUGGGAACGUACCUUUUGGUUCGGAACAACUCCGGGAAACUGGAGCUAAUACCGGAUAAGCCCUAACGGGGAAAGAUUUAUCGCCGAAAGAUCGGCCCGCGUCUGAUUAGCUAGUUGGUGAGGUAACGGCUCACCAAGGCGACGAUUAGUAGCUGGUCUGAGAGGAUGAUCAGCCACACUGGGACUGAGACACGGCCCAGACUCCUACGGGAGGCAGCAGUGGGGAAUAUUGGACAAUGGGCGCAAGCCUGAUCCAGCCAUGCCGCGUGAGUGAUGAAGGCCUUAGGGUUGUAAAGCUCUUUUGUCCGGGAAGAUAAUGACUGUACCGGAAGAAUAAGCCCCGGCUAACUUCGUG
This 431-nucleotide ribosomal RNA is filed under the name uncultured bacterium. RNAcentral's name for it is "partial 16S ribosomal RNA". It matches the Rfam family "Bacterial small subunit ribosomal RNA", at positions 29 to 507 of the family's 1533-position model. The record is from RNAcentral.